AAUAGAUACCCCGGUAGUCCACGCCGUAAACGAUGUCGACUUGGAGGUUGUGCCCUUGAGGCGUGGCUUCCGGAGCUAACGCGUUAAGUCGACCGCCUGGGGAGUACGGCCGCAAGGUUAAAACUCAAAUGAAUUGAUGGGGGCCCGCACAAGCGGUGGAGCAUGUGGUUUAAUUCGAUGCAACGCGAAGAACCUUACCUACUCUUGACAUCCAGAGAACUUAGCAGAGAUGCUUUGGUGCCUUCGGGAACUCUGAGACAGGUGCUGCAUGGCUGUCGUCAGCUCGUGUUGUGAAAUGUUGGGUUAAGUCCCGCAACGAGCGCAACCCUUAUCCUUUGUUGCCAGCGGUUAGGCCGGGAACUCAAAGGAGACUGCCAGUGAUAAACUGGAGGAAGGUGGGGAUGACGUCAAGUCAUCAUGGCCCUUACGAGUAGGGCUACACACGUGCUACAAUGGCAUAUACAAAGAGAAGCGACCUGCGAGAGCAAGCGGACCUCAUAAAGUAUGUCGUAGUCCGGAUUGGAGU
Molecule: ribosomal RNA, 526 nt
Filed under: uncultured bacterium
Lineage: Bacteria
Description: bacterial SSU rRNA
Rfam family: Bacterial small subunit ribosomal RNA
Source: RNAcentral